CAUAAAUGCACUACAGUUUGUCUCUUCAUCCUCUAUUAUAGAACAUCUUGGUUGCUUUAAGUUUUUGGUGAUUAUGAAUAAGAUUGCUGUAAACAUUCAUCUGCAGGUUUUUGUGUGCACAUAAAUUUUCAAAACUGUGUAAAUACCUAGGAAUAUGGCAGCUAGAUCACAUGAUAAAACUACUUUUAACUUUAAAAGUAAAAACUGUCUUUCAAAAUAGUUGAGCUAUUUGCAUUGCUGUCAGCCAUGACUGAGUGUUCAUAUUGCUCAGCACUGUCACUGGCAUUUGAUUUCAUGUUUGUUUGUUUGUUUUAAUUUUAGCAACUUUAAUAGAUGUGUAAUGGUAUUUCAUUGCUGUUUUGUUUAUAAUUUCUUAAAGAUACUUGAUAUAUCUUUUCCUAUGCUUAUAAGUCAUCUGUAUAAUUUUCUUCACUGAGCUGUAUUCAGAUCUUUUGCCCAUUUUUAAAUGUGUUGUAUGUUUAUUGUUGAGUUUUUGAGUUAAUUUUUGCAAAAGACCCAAAAUGUCUAUCAGUUUGUUUUUUAUUUUGUUUGCUUUUGUUUUACCUACUGAUGUCCAGUUGUUCCAGGUCCAUUUAUUUAAAAGACCAUCCAUUCUCUUUUGGAAUUUCCAUUACUUCUUUGUCAAAGAUCAGUUGACUAUAUUUUGGUGGGUCUAUUUCUGGGCUCUCUAUUCUACUGAUAUGUUUGUCUAUUCUUUCACUAUACCACAUUGUUGUGCAUAUUGUAGCUUUAUGGUGAAUCUUGAAGUUGUUAAUGUCAGUCUUUUGACCUUUUCUUUGGUGUUGUGUUAGCUAUUUUGGAUCUGUUGACUUUCCACAUAAACCCUAGAAUAAGUUUAUUAAUAUCUACAAAAUAACCUGCAGAAAUUUUGACUGGGGUUGUGUUGGAUUUGUAAUUUAUUUUGGGAAGAAAUUACAUUUUAAUGAGUCCUUCUUUCCAUGAACAUAGACUGUCCUUAUUUAUUUAGAUUGUAAUUUUUUAUUGAGUUUUCUAGUUUUCUUCCCAUAUAUCCUGUACAUAAUUUGUUUGGUAUGUACAUGGUAUUUCUUUCUCACUCUCUUUUCUUGGCAUUAAUAUAAAUAAUACUGUGUUUUAAUUAUAAAUUAUAAUUGUUCAUUGCUAAUAUACAAGAAAACAGCUGAUUUUGUAUAUUAACCUUUUAUUCUAUAACCAUGUUGUAAUUACUUUUUACAGUUUUUUGGUUUCAGCUAAUUGAUUAGAUUCAUCCUGGGAAAUUCAUGUUUCCUCUUGUGUAUAGCUGCAACAUCUCCACACAAUAUGUUUUUAGCUGGAACCUGAAACGCUGCAUGAUUUCACAUUUAACCAGUGAUUUGGGCAGAAACUAUGCAGAAGCACCUCAAACCGAAAUUACCGCAGCCACCCCACGUUCAGCAACCCUGACUGGGAGGAAGCUAUCAACAUCAAGGCAAGGUCUCUACCAGCAAAAAGACUGCAACUCACUGAAGGCUCAGGCAUUGAUUGAGAGAAUACACUCAAGUGAAGCUUCUGCACUCUAAUCAUCAUCUCAGAGUGCUUCCUGGGAAAUCCAACCUGUGACCCCUUCCUGGUCCCUACUCCCUGGGCUCUACUCUCCCCCACAGCAGUUAGCUGUCACCAAGGAGGCUCAUACAGAGAUAAUCAGCAAGGAUUGGAAGUUGGCUAAUAUAACUGACAUCGGUAACACCAUUCAAAACUAAGAGCCAGUGUCAAGAUCCUGGAUACCCUUCCUGCCUUUACUCCCAAAGUAGCCUUUUCAUAGAUCCGGGUAACACUUGAGCCCUCAAUCCAAGAUUAAAAACAUCUGCUGGAGAAAUUGUCAAACAGUCUUGGAACACUUAGUCAAAUUCACAGGGACUCCAUCUGGGACUGGUGAUACUUGCUGCUUUCAUAUCUUUAAUUGUUUCUAGCACCUCCAUAGAUCAAAGUCCUCUCUGUAAUGCGUCCUUUCCAUCAUGCCAUAUUUACCCAUUUUAUAUCAAAAUGUAUAAUCUUGACCAUCUGCUUUCAUAGGGGAAUAUAAAUCUUUAUCAAACUAGAUUAAGUAACAUUUUUCAGCUAAGUGUGCCUAUAUUUUCUUAUGUGCAAAUUUCAGAAAAUAAUCCCCUCUUUCAUGGCAUGCUUUAAAUUUAGAAACAGGCUUCCUGGGUUUUUCUAACUGUGAAGCAUUUUUAUAUGGUCCUUUGUUCCUGAAUUUCAACAUUCAAAGAAAGUAAUUUUUUUUAAAUCUUCUGUACCAGAAUUAAAUAUAUGCUCUUAUAACACAUAUCAUACAGUCUUGGUUAUAAUUUUGUACCUGUUUGCAAAUCUAUGUCAUGUCAUGAAACUAUAAAUAUCUAAAAGACAUUAAGUUUUAAAAAUGUACUUUGUCUAAUGUCUUACUCAUAGUAGAUAAUGAAUUAUACUGAUAAUGAAUUAUGUUAUUUUAUGUUUAAUAAGAAUUAUGUUAAAGUGUUGUAUUAAAAUGAAAAAUAGUAAAUCAGCUAAAUGUGACAGAACACUAAUAGAAGGCUAAAAUUAUUACCCCCAUACAAAAAUAUUGUGUAAUAAUCUGAUUUAUACAAAUUAAUAUAUCACUGUUAUUCGUACAUAAGCUGCUAUAAAACAUUA
Long non-coding RNA from Callithrix jacchus (white-tufted-ear marmoset), 2628 nucleotides. RefSeq lists it as uncharacterized. Lineage: Eukaryota; Metazoa; Chordata; Mammalia; Primates; Cebidae. The record is from RefSeq and is a predicted model, not a curated record.